This 68-nucleotide transfer RNA is filed under the name Trichonephila clavata. RNAcentral's name for it is "tRNA-Arg". The stretch from base 2 to 61 matches the Rfam family "tRNA", at positions 7 to 64 of the family's 71-position model. From Rfam's summary of the family: Transfer RNA (tRNA) molecules are approximately 80 nucleotides in length. Their secondary structure includes four short double-helical elements and three loops (D, anti-codon, and T loops). Lineage: Eukaryota; Metazoa; Arthropoda; Arachnida; Araneae; Nephilidae. The record is from RNAcentral.
AGUAGCGCAAUGGAUAGCUUGUUGGACUUCUAAUUCAAAGGUCGUGGGUUCGAAUCUCACCAGAAAUG